This is a non-coding RNA of Brugia malayi, 96 nucleotides long. The record is from RefSeq and is a predicted model, not a curated record. NCBI's taxonomy places the organism in Eukaryota, Metazoa, Nematoda, Chromadorea, Rhabditida, Onchocercidae.
AACCGCCUGAAGUAAUAAGGUGCUGACUCAUCAUCAUCUAUUGCCACUGUUGCAGUGCUAUGGCAAUAGAUGAUGAUGAGUCAGCACCUCCCGAUG